RNAcentral lists this ribosomal RNA (519 nucleotides) under uncultured bacterium. Its description in RNAcentral is "bacterial SSU rRNA". It matches the Rfam family "Archaeal small subunit ribosomal RNA", at positions 345 to 866 of the family's 1478-position model. The record is from RNAcentral.
AACCUCCGCAAUGUACGAAAGUGCGACGGGGGGAUCCCAAGUGUUAUGCUUUUUUGUAUAACUUUUCAUUAGUGUAAAAAGCUUUUAGAAUAAGAGCUGGGCAAGACCGGUGCCAGCCGCCGCGGUAACACCGGCAGCUCGAGUGGUAGCUGUUUUUAUUGGGCCUAAAGCGUUCGUAGCCGGUUUGAUAAGUCUUUGGUGAAAGCUUGUAGCUUAACUAUAAGAAUUGCUGGAGAUACUAUCAGACUUGAAGUCGGGAGAGGUUAGAGGUACUACCGGGGUAGGGGUGAAAUCCUAUAAUCCUGGGAGGACCACCUGUGGCGAAGGCGUCUAACUGGAACGAUCUUGACGGUGAGUAACGAAAGCCAGGGGCGCGAACCGGAUUAGAUACCCGGGUAGUCCUGGCCGUAAACGAUGUGGACUUGGUGUUGGAAUGGCUUGAGUUGUUCCGGUGCCGAAGGGAGCUGUUAAGUCCACCGCCUGGGAAGUACGGUCGCAAGACUGAAACUUAAAGGGAAU